Molecule: long non-coding RNA, 4032 nt
Filed under: Citrus x clementina
Lineage: Eukaryota; Viridiplantae; Streptophyta; Magnoliopsida; Sapindales; Rutaceae
Description: Citrus clementina (C. clementina) long non-coding RNA (CCLE_LNC006159)
Source: RNAcentral
AGCGGGUGGGCUAUAGCCUUGGUGGGGGGCGUGGGCGAAGUUCGUCCGCGGGACUCGGAAUGGCACCAGACUUGGCGGGCGGCCUCCGUGUGCCAAAAAUAGGCCACGGGCACCGCCGCGCCCAAAAAACAACCCCCGAAGUUCGGGGUCCCAAGACCCCCCAGCAGAAAAAUGGCCAAAAAACGGUGGGCUAUAGCCUUGGUGGGGUGCGUGGGCGAAGUUCGUCCGCGGGACUCGGAAUGGCACCAGACUUGGCGGGCGGCCUCCGUGUGCCAAAAAUAGGCCACGGGCACAGCCGCGCCCAAAAAGCAGCCCCCGAAGUUCGGGGUCCCAAGACCCCCCAGCGGAAAAAUGGCCAAAAAACGGGUGGGCUAUAGCCUUGGUGGGGGGCGUGGGCGAAGUUCGUCCGCGGGACUCGGAAUGGCACCAGACUUGGCGGGCGGCCUCCGUGUGCCAAAAAUAGGCCACGGGCACAGCCGCGCCCAAAAAACAACCCCCGAAGUUCGGGGUCCCAAGACCCCCCAGCGAAAAAAUGGCCAAAAAACGGUGGGCUAUAGCCUUGGUGGGGUGCGUGGGCGAAGUUCGUCCGCGGGACUCGGAAUGGCACCAGACUUGGCGGGCGGCCUCCGUGUGCCAAAAAUAGGCCACGGGCACAGCCGCGCCCAAAAAACAGCCCCCGAAGUUCGGGGUCCCAAGACCCCCCAGCGGAAAAAUGGCCAAAAAACGGUGGGCUAUAGCCUUGGUGGGGGGCGUGGGCGAAGUUCGUCCGCGGGACUCGGAAUGGCACCAGACUUGGCGGGCGGCCUCCGUGUGCCAAAAAUAGGCCACGGGCACAGCCGCGCCCACAAACAACCCCCGAAGUUCGGGGUCCCAAGACCCCCCAGCGAAAAAUGGCCAAAAAACGGUGGGCUAUAGCCUUGGUGGGGUGCAUGGGCGAAGUUCGUCCGCGGGACUCGGAAUGGCACCAGACUUGGCGGGCGGCCUCCGUGUGCCAAAAAUAGGCCACGGGCACAGCCGCGCCCAAAAAACAGCCCCCGAAGUUCGGGGUCCCAAGACCCCCCAGCGGAAAAAUGGCCAAAAAACGGUGGGCUAUAGCCUUGGUGGGGGGCGUGGGCGAAGUUCGUCCGCGGGACUCGGAAUGGUACCAGACUUGGCGGGCGGCCUCCGUGUGCCAAAAAUAGGCCACGGGCACAGCCGCGCCCAAAAAACAGCCCCCGAAGUUCGGGGUCCCAAGACCCCCCAGCGGAAAAAUGGCCAAAAAACGGGUGGGCUAUAGCCUUGGUGGGUGGCGCCCAAAAGUUCGUCCGCGGGACUCGGAAUGGCACCAGACUUGGCGGGCGGCCUCCGUGUGCCAAAAAUAGGCCACGGGCACAGCCGCGCCCAAAAAACAGCCCCGAAGUUCGGGGUCCCAAGACCCCCCAGCGGAAAAAUGGCCAAAAAACGGGUGGGCUAUAGCCUUGGUGGGUGGCGCGCAAAAGUUCGUCCGCGGGACUCGGAAUGGCACCAGACUUGGCGGGCGGCCUCCGUGUGCCAAAAAUAGGCCACAGGCACAGCCGCGCCCAAAAAACAACCCCCGAAGUUCGGGGUCCCAAGACCCCCCAGCGGAAAAAUGGACAAAAAACGGUGGGCUAUAGCCUUGGUGGGGUGCGUGGGCGAAGUUCGUCCGCGGGACUCGGAAUGGCACCAGACUUGGCGGGCGGCCUCCGUGUGCCAAAAAUAGGCCACGGGCACAGCCGCGCCCAAAAAACAGCCCCCGAAGUUCGGGGUCCCAAGACCCCCCAGCGGAAAAAUGGCCAAAAAACGGGUGGGCUAUAGCCUUGGUGGGGGGCGUGGGCGAAGUUCGUCCGCGGGACUCGGAAUGGCACCAGACUUGGCGGGCGGCCUCCGUGUGCCAAAAAUAGGCCACGGGCACAGCCGCGCCCAAAAAACAGCCCCCGAAGUUCGGAGUCCCUAGACCCCCCAGCGGAAAAAUGGCCAAAAAACGGGUGGGCUAUAGCCUUGGUGGGUGGCGCCCAAAAGUUCGUCCGCGGGACUCGGAAUGGCACCAGACUUGGCGGGCGGCCUCCGUGUGCCAAAAAUAGGCCACGGGCACAGCCGCGCCCAAAAAACAGCCCCCGAAGUUCGGGGUCCCAAGACCCCCCAGCGGAAAAAUGGCCAAAAAACGGGUGGGCUAUAGCCUUGGUGGGGGGCGUGGGCGAAGUUCGUCCGCGGGACUCGGAAUGGCACCAGACUUGGCGGGCGGCCUCCGUGUGCCAAAAAUAGGCCACGGGCACAGCCGCGUCCAAAAAACAACCCCCGAAGUUCGGGGUCCCAAGACCCCCCAGCGGAAAAAUGGCCAAAAAACGGUGGGCUAUAGCCUUGGUGGGGGGCGUGGGCGAAGUUCGUCCGCGGGACUCGGAAUGGCACCAGACUUGGCGGGCGGCCUCCGUGUGCCAAAAAUAGGCCACGGGCACAGCCGCGCCCAAAAAACAACCCCCGAAGUUCGGGGUCCCAAGACCCCCCAGCGGAAAAAUGGCCAAAAAACGGUGGGCUAUAGCCUUGGUGGGGUGCGUGGGCGAAGUUCGUCCGCGGGACUCGGAAUGGCACCAGACUUGGCGGGCGGCCUCCGUGUGCCAAAAAUAGGCCACGGGCACAGCCGCGCCCAAAAAACAGCCCCCGAAGUUCGGGGUCCCAAGACCCCCCAGCGGAAAAAUGGCCAAAAAACGGGUGGGCUAUAGCCUUGGUGGGGGGCGUGGGCGAAGUUCGUCCGCGGGACUCGGAAUGGCACCAGACUUGGCGGGCGGCCUCCGUGUGCCAAAAAUAGGCCACGGGCACAGCCGCGCCCAAAAAACAGCCCCCGAAGUUCGGGGUCCCAAGACCCCCCAGCGGAAAAAUGGCCAAAAAACGGUGGGCUAUAGCCUUGGUGGGGGGCGUGGGCGAAGUUCGUCCGCGGGACUCGGAAUGGCACCAGACUUGGCGGGCGGCCUCCGUGUGCCAAAAAUAGGCCACGGGCACAGCCGCGCCCAAAAAACAGCCCCCGAAGUUCGGGGUCCCAAGACCCCCCAGCGGAAAAAUGGCCAAAAAACGGUGGGCUAUAGCCUUGGUGGGGGGCGUGGGCGAAGUUCGUCCGCGGGACUCGGAAUGGCACCAGACUUGGCGGGCGGCCUCCGUGUGACAAAAAUAGGCCACGGGCACAGCCGCACCCAAAAAACAGCCCCCGAAGUUCGAGGUCCCAAGACCCCCCAGCGGAAAACUGGCCAAAAAACGGGUGGGCUAUAGCCUUGGUGGGUGGCGCCCAAAAGUUCAUCCGCGGGACUCGGAAUGGCACCAGACUUGGCGGACGGCCUCCGUGUGCCAAAAAUAGGCCACGGGCACAGCCGCGCCCAAAAAACAGCCCCCGAAGUUCGGGGUCCCAAGACCCCCCAGCGGAAAAAUGGCCAAAAAACGGUGGGCUAUAGCCUUGGUGGGGUGCGUGGGAGAAGUUCGUCCGCGGGACUCGGAAUGGCACCAGACUUGGUGGGUGGCCUCCGUGUGCCAAAAAUAGGCCACGGGCACAGCCGCGCCCAAAAAACAGCCCCCGAAGUUCGGGGUCCCAAGACCCCCCAGCGGAAAAAUGGCCAAAAAACGGGUGGGCUAUAGCCUUGGUGGGUGGCGCCCAAAAGUUCGUCCGCGGGACUCGGAAUGGCACCAGACUUGGCGGGCGGCCUCCGUGUGCCAAAAAUAGGCCACGGGCACAGCCGCGCCCAAAAAACAGCCCCCGAAGUUCGGUGUCCCAAGACCCCCCAGCGGAAAAAUGGCCAAAAAACGGUGGGCUAUAGCCUUGGUGGGGGGCGUGGGCGAAGUUCGUCCGCGGGACUCGGAAUGGCACCAGACUUGGCGGGCGGCCUCCGUGUGCCAAAAAUAGGCCACGGGCACAGCCGCGCCCAAAAAACAGCCCCCGAAGUUCGGGGUCCCAAGACCCCCCAGCGGAAAAAUGCCCAAAAAACGGUGGGCUAUACCUUGGUGGGGGGCGUGGGCGAAGUUCGUCCGCGGGACUCGGAAUGGCACCAGACU